RNAcentral lists this unclassified non-coding RNA (261 nucleotides) under Zea mays. Its description in RNAcentral is "misc RNA Zm00001eb402530". Lineage: Eukaryota; Viridiplantae; Streptophyta; Magnoliopsida; Poales; Poaceae. The record is from RNAcentral.
CUGCAUCUCGCGAGACCUCGCCCCGAGCCCCCGACGCCGCCGCGGCGCCACCCGCUGUCCCUCGCCGUCGCCGACCCUGCGCUGCGGCUUAUCUCCGGCGAGGAGGACGACCGCGCGACCACCGACGAGGAGGACGGGCGCGCAGCCACCAGGGACGGGCGCGUAGCCACCGAGGACGCAAGCACGACUUCUCAUCGGAAGGAGGAGAAGAGCACGCGCGUCUGCUGCCGGCUGGACGGACGACCGCGCGACCACCGAUGA